CAGAGAAACACGAGGGUAGUCACGGGUCUGCAGCAUGGCGGUGUUUGCGGACUUGGACUUGCGGGCCAGUUCCGACCUCAAGACUCUACGCGGACUAGUGGAGACAGCUGCUCACCUUGGCUAUUCAGUUGUUGCUGUCAAUCAUGUUGUUGACUUUAAGGAAAAGAAACAGGAAAUUGAAAAACCAGUAGCAGUUUCUGAACUUUUCACAACUUUGCCAGUUGUACAGGGAAAAUCAAGACCAAUUAAAAUUUUAACUAGAUUGACGAUUAUUGUUUCGGAUCCGUCACACUGCAAUGUUUUGAGAGCAACUUCUUCAAGGGUUCGACUUUAUGACAUUGUUGCAGUUUUUCCAAAGACAGAAAAACUUUUUCAUGUUGCUUGCACACAUUUAGAUGUGGAUUUAGUCUGCAUAACUGUAACAGAGAAGUUACCAUUUUACUUCAAAAGACCCCCUAUUAAUGUGGCAAUUGACCGAGGCCUGGGGUUUGAACUUGUCUAUAGCCCUGCUAUCAAAGAUUCUACAAUGAGGAGGUACACAAUUUCCAAUGCCCUCAAUUUGAUGCAGAUCUGCAAAGGAAAGAAUGUAAUUGUUUCUAGUGCUGCAGAAAGGCCUUUAGAAAUCAGAGGGCCGUAUGAUGUCGCAAACUUAGGGUUGCUGUUUGGGCUAUCUGAAAGUGAUGCCAAGGCUGCAGUGUCCACCAACUGCCGAGCAGCACUUCUCCAUGGAGAAACUAGAAAAACUGCUUUUGGAAUUAUUUCUACAGUGAAGAAACCUCGGCCAUCAGAAGGGGAUGAUGAUUCUUUCCCAGCCUGCAAGAAAGCCAAGUGAUCAUCAUGUUAAGUCAAAGCAAAUAUCUGCACUUGUGCUAUAUUGAUGGAAAGGCCCCAAAACACCAUGGAGUAGAGCAAGAGCAAAGAAGCCUGGAGAGCAAGUGGUGAUGAAAUCAUGAAAGGCGGUUUCCACAAGUUGAUGAGAAUUGAAUAUUUUUCCUUGCAAGAAGUGGACCAAAGCCUGGAAGACGUAAGAGUCAUUUGGUGCAAGGUCUGGUGAAUAUGUUGGAUGAUAGAAUUUCCAAGUCCAGUUUGUGUCGUUUGAGCAGCGUUGUUUGUGUGACAUGUGGUCAAGUGAACAAGAGGAUUAUCUGUCUCUGUUAACGUCUCAGCUACUGACUCACAAACAUCUUCAUCAUCUCAUCCACAUGGUUGCACUAGAAUCCGCUGUAAUCUAGUGACCAGGUUUCACAGAGUUCUAGUGGACAACACCAGUGCUGGAUUUCCAGACAGACACCAUUAGCUUUUUUGGAUGCCUUCAAGUUGUGGACUGUAUGUCAGCACUUCAUCUUUAUCCAACCCUGGUGCUGAAUGCUUGGCAAUUGUCAAAAAGAAUCCAUUUUCAUCACUUAUGAUGGUAUAGAAAUAGUUCACUUUUGUGUCAUGACAGCCAAGAAAGGGAUUUCUCUUCUAACACUCAGUUAAUUCAUGUGGAACCCAUCUAUCUAUCCAGCUUCUUUACCUUGCUGAUUAGGUCCAAUUCAUGCUCCGAGAACUCCAUUGGCUUAGGCUGAGGGUGGAUUUUCCCUGAAAUCACAACUGUGCCACUUUUCUUCUUCCCUCUUCUGUUUCCUUCACUCACUGUCAAUAAAUCACUUUCACAAGAAUCUUCAUUUCGAGCGCUGCUUCCAGGGGGCCUGAUUGAAUAAAAAAUUGGGCAAAUCAAGUUGAUCUGAAAAAAAUUAAUGCCCAGUAAACACAGAGGUGCCAAACUUGCUAGACACUAGGGGAAAAUGAAAAAAAAUGUAUCUUUGUUUUGCUGAUCAGCUUGAAAGACAAAAGAAAAAAGAUUUAUAAAACAAGUAUUUUUGGGCAGUGCCUGUGGCUCAAAGGAGUAGGGCGCCGGCCCUAUAUGCCAGAGGUGGUGGGUUCAAACCCAGCCCUGGCCAAAAUAAAAAGCAAACAAAAACAAAAAACAAGUAUUUUCAAGGUUUGGGGGAAAGGCCAUAAUGUCUUAUGGAAGGGGACUUAGUUUGAUAGCAACCUUACAGAUAAUUCUAUAAAUUUAUCCUUUAGAAAUAACUGGUUAGGUAUAAAGGAUACACUGCAAUAGCGUCUAAAAUAAUGUGAGAAUGGAAACAAGCUAAACACAAUAAGGAUUAGCUAAAUAAUCCAUUGUACAUUGAAACAAAAGAAUACUAUGUAUAAAGAUGUCUAGAAUAAGUUGUUUAAUUGGAAAACUUACAAAACUAGGUACACAGUAUCCAUAUAUAACGUGCACAGAAAUAAUCAAAAUAAAUGCCAUGAAAUUAAGAUUA
Nycticebus coucang (slow loris) is the source of this 2312-nucleotide RNA transcript. It is a transcript of the gene named ribonuclease P/MRP subunit p30, with no coding region annotated. NCBI's taxonomy places the organism in Eukaryota, Metazoa, Chordata, Mammalia, Primates, Lorisidae. The transcript has 13 exons. The record is from RefSeq and is a predicted model, not a curated record.